GUUUAAUUGCUGUGGAUAACCAUCGAUCAUUGCAGGGAUGCCCCUGGGACAGUGGACUUUGAGAAAGGAGAAAACAGGAACUGCCAGAGCAUUCCUGCCCCUGGUUACUGAUGGUAGAGGUGGUUCAGAGGAACACAUGCCCAUCCAAGGUAAGAGUGAAGAUUUAGAAAUACCAUAUCCAGUGGUGUUGCAAAGAUCAGAGUGGAGAGCACUUCAUACCCAAGUUUUAUAAUCUCAGAACAACUGGA
This is a long non-coding RNA of Callorhinus ursinus (northern fur seal), 248 nucleotides long. RefSeq lists it as uncharacterized. NCBI's taxonomy places the organism in Eukaryota, Metazoa, Chordata, Mammalia, Carnivora, Otariidae. The record is from RefSeq and is a predicted model, not a curated record.